CUCGCUGCUGCUGCUGCUCCUGGCCCUGGCUCCGGGAGCGGCUCCGGGCACCGCCGCCCUGCCGACCCCACCGCGCCCCGGACACGGAGGAUCCUGCGAGCCAGGGAGGCUGGAGGAUGCCCAGAGGGAUCCCUGCCUGCGGGCAGCGGUGUCCUGAGAGCGCAGAAAUGCAGAAAGGAGUCCCCACACACGGGGCAGGGAGGGGUGGUGGCACCUCCGAUGCCAUGGGAGGGAUGCUGCCAGGAGAAUCCUGCCGGCAGCACCCAGGGAGAGCACCCUGCCCUGCCCUGCAUCGCUCCGGGGACAGGGAGGAAAAAAGAGGCAAGAAAAUCCUCGUUGUGAAAGCAGGACUGAGCAGCCAGGCUGGAAAACCAAGCCCGAGGAAAAUUGCUUUUCCAGUGUGCUGAGCCUGGUGUGGACAGCGUGCAAAACUCUAGAUAAGAGAACAAUAAACAAGAACCUGAAGACCGAAAAAGUCCAGUCUGCCUCUCUUUCCUGGCACAAAACCGCUCCAGGAGGGUCUCCCCCAACAGGGGAGCCCCUGGGAGGCUUCAGCUUGAGUCCCAGGGAAGCAACAGCUCCUGCUCCUCCCAUCGCUCUCCCGAACUCCCGAAUGGGCCAAGAGCGAAAUGAAGAACGCAGGGAACAAAGCAAAGUAAACAAACAUUUAAAGCCACGUUCCAGGAGGAAUCUGCGGACUGCUGAGCUCAGCGCUUCUCUCCAGAGCUCUGCAUCCCCAUCCCGGGGUCUGGGCUGGAAAUCAGCUCCAGGAAAACAGCACCAACCUCAGGGACCCAGUGUCCAGCUCCUUCCCUUCCCAAAUGGUCCCAGGACUGGUGGUGAUGCCUCAGGUUUGAGCUUUUCUAUUUCUCAGGUUCUGUGCUGCUUUAGUGUGUGGGUCUGGGUUCAUAUCAGGGGAUGGUGAGCUCUGUGCACAGAGCAGGGAGACAAAACAAUUCCUGCUCCAGCUGGGGACCAAGGACAAAGGAUCCAAAUCUCAGGCCCAAGAGCACAAACAACGUGGGCUGAAGAGAGAAAAACAAGAAGGAUGGGACUGCAUGGGCUGGGGCUGGAAUUGGAUACUUAACUCCAAUGUGCAAAUGGAGCAGAACUUACAAAAAAUGUGAGACCCUGUGACCAGGUGUCCAUUUUGGUUCAUCUUGGGUGCAGCCCUGUCUGGGCUCUUGUGCUGCCCAAGGUGGAUCCAUUGAGGCCUUUUAAUAAAUCCCUGCUUUAUUCCUUAGCUCUGUCCAGUCUCUGUUCUAGCUCAGCCUUCACAAGGCACCAGUGCCCCCCUCCUCCAAGCUUCUGGGGCACUCCUUGUCUGCAGGGUGGGGA
This is a long non-coding RNA of Passer domesticus (house sparrow), 1338 nucleotides long. RefSeq lists it as uncharacterized. NCBI's taxonomy places the organism in Eukaryota, Metazoa, Chordata, Aves, Passeriformes, Passeridae. The transcript is spliced from 3 exons. The record is from RefSeq and is a predicted model, not a curated record.